CCUACGGGAGGCAGCAGUGAGGAAUAUUGGUCAAUGGGAGAGAUCCUGAACCAGCCAAGCCGCGUGAGGGAAGACGGCCCUAUGGGUUGUAAACCUCUUUUGUCGGAGAACAAAACCCGGGACGUGUCCCGGCCUGCGUGUAUCCGUAGAAAAAGGCUCGGCCAACUCCGUGCCAGCUGCCGCGGUAAUACGGAGGAUGUGGGCGUUAUCCGGAUUUAUUGGGGUUAAAGGGUGCGUAGGCGGUCCGUUAGGUCAGUGGUAAAAAUUUGGGGCUAAACCCCGCUGGGCCGUUGAAACUGGGAGCCUUGAGUAGGCGAGAGGUAGGCGGAAUGCGCGGUGUAGCGGUGAAAUGCAUAGAUAGCACGCAGAACCCCGAUUGCGAAGGCAGCCUACCGGCGCCAGACUGACGCUGAGGCACGAAAGUGUGGGGAUCGAACAGGAUUAGAUACCCUAGUAGUC
RNAcentral lists this ribosomal RNA (459 nucleotides) under uncultured bacterium. RNAcentral's name for it is "partial 16S ribosomal RNA". It matches the Rfam family "Bacterial small subunit ribosomal RNA", at positions 338 to 795 of the family's 1533-position model. The record is from RNAcentral.